RNAcentral lists this ribosomal RNA (487 nucleotides) under uncultured bacterium. RNAcentral's name for it is "SSU rRNA". It matches the Rfam family "Bacterial small subunit ribosomal RNA", at positions 26 to 523 of the family's 1533-position model. The record is from RNAcentral.
AGGACGAACGCUGGCGGCGUGCUUAACACAUGCAAGUCGAACGGUGAAGCCUUUCGGGGUGGAUCAGUGGCGAACGGGUGAGUAACACGUGAGUAAUCUGCCCUUGACUCUGGGAUAACUUCGGGAAACCGUGGCUAAUACCGGAUAUGACGCAUGGUCGCAUGGUCUGUGUGUGGAAAGAUUUAUUGGUCAGGGAUGAGCUCGCGGCCUAUCAGCUUGUUGGUGGGGUAAUGGCCUACCAAGGCGACGACGGGUAGCCGGCCUGAGAGGGGCGAGUCGGACCGACGACUGGGACUGAGACACGGCCCAGACUCCUACGGGAGGCAGCAGUGGGGAAUACUGCGCAAUGGGCGAAGCCUGACGCAGCGACGCCGCGUGAGGGAUGAAGGCCUUCGGGUCGUAAACCUCUUUCAGCAGGGAAGAAGCUUUUGGGUGACGGUACCUGCAGAAGAAGCACCGGCUAACUACGUGCCAGCAGCCGCGGUAA